CAAAGGUUGCUUGAAUAAGGU
RNAcentral lists this microRNA (21 nucleotides) under Brassica rapa (field mustard). RNAcentral describes it as "bra-miR5726". The record is from miRBase by way of RNAcentral. Lineage: Eukaryota; Viridiplantae; Streptophyta; Magnoliopsida; Brassicales; Brassicaceae.